GACGGAGGAUGCAAGUGUUAUCCGGAAUCACUGGGCGUAAAGCGUCUGUAGGUGGUCCAAUAAGUCAACUGUUAAAUCUUGGGGCUCAACCUCAAAAUCGCAGUCGAAACUAUUAGACUAGAGUAUAGUAGGGGUAAAGGGAAUUUCCAGUGGAGCGGUGAAAUGCGUAGAUAUUGGAAAGAACACCGAUGGCGAAGGCACUUUACUGGGCUAUUACUAACACUCAGAGACGAAAGCUAGGGUAGCAAAUGGG
RNAcentral lists this ribosomal RNA (253 nucleotides) under uncultured bacterium. RNAcentral describes it as "partial 16S ribosomal RNA". It matches the Rfam family "Bacterial small subunit ribosomal RNA", at positions 524 to 776 of the family's 1533-position model. The record is from RNAcentral.